This 323-nucleotide ribosomal RNA is filed under the name uncultured Bacteroidota bacterium. RNAcentral describes it as "bacterial SSU rRNA". It matches the Rfam family "Bacterial small subunit ribosomal RNA", at positions 28 to 351 of the family's 1533-position model. Lineage: Bacteria; Pseudomonadati; Bacteroidota. The record is from RNAcentral.
GAUGAACGCUAGCGGCAGGCUUAAUACAUGCAAGUCGAACGGUAAGGUCUCUUCGGAGAUACACGAGUGGCGCACGGGUGCGUAACGCGUAUGCAACCUACCUUUAACUGGGGCAUAGCCCCGAGAAAUCGGGAUUAAUACCCCAUAAGAUCAUAGAAAGACAUCUUUCAGUGAUUAAAGCUCCGGCGGUUAAAGAUGGGCAUGCGCGACAUUAGCUUGUUGGUGAGGUAACGGCUCACCAAGGCUACGAUGUCUAGGGGGUUCUGAGAGGAUUCACCCCCACACUGGUACUGAGACACGGACCAGACUCCUACGGGAGGCUG